Molecule: ribosomal RNA, 392 nt
Filed under: uncultured eukaryote
Lineage: Eukaryota
Description: partial 18S ribosomal RNA
Rfam family: Eukaryotic small subunit ribosomal RNA
Source: RNAcentral
CAAUAGCGUAUACUAAAGUUGUUGCGAUUAAAAAGCUCGUAGUUGGAUCUCAGGCAUGGGCGCACGGUCCGCCUCGCGGCGGUCACUGCGUGUUUUGUUUCCCAUCCUACGCUUCCCGGUUAUCAGCCCAUGGUGCUCUUCACUGAGCGUUUUGGGUGGCCGGAACGUUUACUUUGAAGAAAUUAGAGUGUUCAAAGCAGGCACGUCGCCUGAAUAAUGGUGCAUGGAAUAAUGGAAUAGGACCUCGGUUCUAUUUUGCUGGUUUUCGGAACACGAGGUAAUGAUUAAGAGGGACAGACGGGGGCAUCCGUAUUGCGGUGUUAGAGGUGAAAUUCUUGGAUCAUCGCAAGACGAACAACUGCGAAAGCAUUUGCCAAGCAUGUUUUCAUUAG